AUGCUACACGAUACCGGAAACAAUGAAAAUUCGAGAGUAAUUAGGGAGAGAAACAGAUAAAUUUUGUUGAUGCGUACCUUGAAUCGACGUCGAGCAAAAAAGAAGGGUAUGGUUUGGAGUUUUACCAGAAACUUCACGGCUUGCCUUAUGUGUUGAAGUUCAUCCCAUGGUGAUCGUGCUGCCUGUAGGAGACAAAAUAAAAAGAAUCAUAUAUUCUCCGUUGCUAACCGAACAACACUCUCGGCGAAGCAACAAACUGCCAGAAGAUCAACUUUGCAAGUCAAGCUACCUCAUGACUAAAUGUUGAUGGGACCUGGAGAUCAUUAACACUCAGUCAAGAAACAGGAAAAGAUCAAUUAAGCUUGAGAUCAAAAUCUUCGAAAUUUCUUUCUCUUACAUGGUUCUCUGCCAGUAAGGUCAAGACGCGGAAACUCUUUCAUGAGGCAUUGUCUUUUCUACAGAAGCUGUCUGUCUUCGGAGAGAUUCAUUUUCUGACUCUAGUAUUGCAAGCUUAUCCUUCAGGCUGAUAAGAGCUAGGCCUGAUAGAAGAAAGGAAUGUAUUAGGUGGACAAAACUGAUCAGCUCACAGAACUGUACCUGUUUAACUCUCCAGACUCUUCGACGAUUGUUGAAACAGCCAAAGCCUGCUGGCGCAAGACCUGAUUUUCCGAUUCAAGGUUUGACAAAUUCGUAUGUAAUCUGGAAUUUACCAACAAUACUCAUGAACACUGACAGUAAAACAGAAAUAUGAUGUCAAAUGCCUUAAGGAACCAAUAAUCUAUACCGGUCGAUGAUCUCUUGAAGUUGGAUGGCCUUUGAUUUUGCA
This is a long non-coding RNA of Capsella rubella, 826 nucleotides long. RefSeq lists it as uncharacterized. NCBI's taxonomy places the organism in Eukaryota, Viridiplantae, Streptophyta, Magnoliopsida, Brassicales, Brassicaceae. The transcript has 6 exons. The record is from RefSeq and is a predicted model, not a curated record.